This 301-nucleotide ribosomal RNA is filed under the name uncultured bacterium. Its description in RNAcentral is "partial 16S ribosomal RNA". It matches the Rfam family "Bacterial small subunit ribosomal RNA", at positions 509 to 807 of the family's 1533-position model. The record is from RNAcentral.
CAGUAGCCGCGGUAAUACAGAGGCCUUAAGCGUUGUUCGGAUUCAUUGGGCGUAAAGGGUGCGUAGGUGGCUUGGUAAGUUGAAGGUGAAAUCUCGGGGCUUAACCCCGAAACUGCCUUCAAUACUGCUAGGCUCGAGGACUGUAGAGGAGAAUGGAAUUCACGGUGUAGCAGUGAAAUGCGUAGAUAUCGUGAGGAAGACCAGUGGCGAAGGCGAUUCUCUGGGCAGUUCCUGACACUGAGGCACGAAGGCCAGGGGAGCAAACGGGAUUAGAUACCCCGGUAGUCCCUGUCUCUUAUAC